AGAGUUUGAUUCUGGCUCAGGAUGAACGCUAGCGGCAGGCUUAACACAUGCAAGUCGAGGGGCAGCGCGGGGUAGCAAUACCCUGGCGGCGACCGGCGCACGGGUGCGUAACGCGUAUGCAACCCACCUGUAACAGGGGGAUAACCCAGGGAAACUUGGACUAAUACCCCAUAUUGCUUUAUUCCCGCAUGAGAAGGGAGCGAAGGAUUCAUCGGUUACAGACGGGCAUGCGUGACAUUAGGUAGUUGGCCAGGCAACGGCCCACCAAGCCGACGAUGUCUAGGGGAGCUGAGAGGCUUAUCCCCCACACUGGUACUGAGACACGGACCAGACUCCUACGGGAGGCAGCAGUGAGGAAUAUUGGUCAAUGGACGGAAGUCUGAACCAGCCAUGCCGCGUGAAGGAAGACGGCCCUAUGGGUUGUAAACUUCUUUUGUUGGGGAGCGAUAAGGGUCAUGCGUGAUCCGAUGAGAGUACCCAGCGAAUAAGCAUCGGCUAACUCCGUGCCAGCAGCCGCGGUAAUACGGAGGAUGCAAGCGUUAUCCGGAUUUAUUGGGUUUAAAGGGUGCGUAGGCGGACUGGUAAGUCAGCGGUGAAAUAUGCCGGCUCAACCGGCAGGCUGCCGUUGAUACUGCCAGACUAGAGUACAAACGGCGCCGGCGGAAUAUGUCAUGUAGCGGUGAAAUGCUUAGAGAUGACAUAGAACACCGAUCGCGAAGGCAGCUGGCGAGGAUGGCACUGACGCUCAUGCACGAAAGCGUGGGGAUCAAACAGGAUUAGAUUACCGUGGUAGUCCACGCAAGUAAACGAUGAUGACUUGUUGUCAACGGUAGACAGUCGGCGACAAAGCGAAAGCGAUAAGUCAUCCACCUGGGGAGUACGAUCGCAAGGUUGAAACUCAAAGGAAUUGACGGGGGCCCGCACAAGCGGAGGAGCAUGUGGUUUAAUUCGAUGAUACGCGAGGAACCUUACCCAGACUCUAAUGCAGAUGGAGCUCGGCAGAGAUGCCGGGGCCCUUCGGGGCCGUCUGCAAGGUGCUGCAUGGUUGUCGUCAGCUCGUGCCGGGAGGUGUCAGGUUAAGUCCUAUAACGAGCGCAACCCCUACGUCCAGUUGCCAGCGGGUAAAGCCGGGGACUCUGGAGGGACUGCCGGCGCAAGCCGAGAGGAAGGUGGGGAUGACGUCAAAUCAGCACGGCCCUUACGUCUGGGGCGACACACGUGCUACAAUGGCCGGUACAGAGGGCAGCGACACUGCGAGGUGGAGCGAAUCUCGAAAGCCGGUCUCAGUUCGGAUCGGAGUCUGCAACCCGACUCCGUGAAGUUGGAUUCGCUAGUAAUCGCGCAUCAGCCAUGGCGCGGUGAAUACGUUCCCGGGCCUUGCACACACCGCCGGUCA
Molecule: ribosomal RNA, 1396 nt
Filed under: uncultured bacterium
Lineage: Bacteria
Description: 16S ribosomal RNA
Rfam family: Bacterial small subunit ribosomal RNA
Source: RNAcentral